Molecule: ribosomal RNA, 440 nt
Filed under: uncultured bacterium
Lineage: Bacteria
Description: partial 16S ribosomal RNA
Rfam family: Bacterial small subunit ribosomal RNA
Source: RNAcentral
CCUACGGGAGGCUGCAGUGGGGAAUAUUGGGCAAUGGGGGAAACCCUGAUGCAGCGACGCCGCGUGAGUGAAGAAGUACUUCGUUAUGUAAAGCUCUAUCAGCAGGGAAGAAAAUGACGGUACCUGAGUAAGAAGCCCCGGCUAACUACGUGCCAGCAGCCGCGGGAAGACGUAGGGGGCAAGGGUUAACCGGAUUUACUGGGUGGAAAGGGAGCGUAGACGGCAGUGCAAGUCUGGAGUGAAAGGCGGGGGCUCAACCCCCGGACUGCUCUGGAAACUGGACGGCUGGAGUGCAGGAGAGGUAAGUGGAAUUCCUGGUGUAGCAGUGAAAUGCGUAGAUAUUAGGAGGAACACCAGUGGCGAAGGCGACUUACUGGACUGUAACUGACGUUGAGGCGCGAAAGCGUGGGGAGCAAACAGGAUUAGAUACCCCUGUAGUC